UACGGAGGGGGCGAGCGUCAUUCGGAAUUAUUGGGCGUAAAGGGCGCGUGGGCGGCCUUGUAAGUCAAAGGUGAAAUCCCUCGGCUCAACUGAGGAACUGCCUUUGAAACUGCAAGGCUUGAGGCCGGGAGGGGGUAGCGGAAUUCCCAAUGUAGCGGUGAAAUGCGUAGAUAUUGGGAGGAACACCAGUGGCGAGGGCGGCUACCUGGACCGGUUCUGACGCUGAGGCGCGAAAGCGUGGGUAGCAAACAGG
RNAcentral lists this ribosomal RNA (253 nucleotides) under uncultured bacterium. RNAcentral's name for it is "partial 16S ribosomal RNA". It matches the Rfam family "Bacterial small subunit ribosomal RNA", at positions 524 to 776 of the family's 1533-position model. The record is from RNAcentral.